This 403-nucleotide ribosomal RNA is filed under the name bacterium. Its description in RNAcentral is "partial 16S ribosomal RNA". It matches the Rfam family "Bacterial small subunit ribosomal RNA", at positions 355 to 776 of the family's 1533-position model. The record is from RNAcentral.
UGGGGAAUAUUGCACAAUGGGGGAAACCCUGAUGCAGCGACGCCGCGUGAACGAAGAAGGUAUUCGUAUCGUAAAGUUCUGUCCUAUGGGAAGAUAAUGACAGUACCAUAGAAGAAAGCUCCGGCUAAAUACGUGCCAGCAGCCGCGGUAAUACGUAUGGAGCGAGCGUUGUCCGGAAUUAUUGGGCGUAAAGGGUACGCAGGCGGUUUAAUAAGUCGAAUGUUAAAGAUCGGGGCUCAACCCCGUAAAGCAUUGGAAACUGAUAAACUUGAGUAGUGGAGAGGAAAGUGGAAUUCCUAGUGUAGUGGAGAAAUACGUAGAUAUUAGGAGGAAUACCAGAAGCGAAGGCGACUUUCUGGACACAAACUGACGCUGAGGUACGAAAGCGUGGGGAGCAAACAGG